GACAUGCAAAACAUUUGAAAUAUUUCGCACCACCUCGACGAAGGCUUGUAUACUAAAAUCAAAAAACAACUUUUUACUUAUUCACAUUUUUAUUACCGAGCAACUUUCACAAAUUGUAUCUGUAUUGUCUGUAAGACGUGCCCUGCAGUGAUCAUCGCAUAUAGCUUAUGAUCCUCGGGCCAUAGUAUGUAACGAAAGCCUCAGCUUCUCAGUCUUCCAAAAGCUGACUGUAUCACCUGAGAUCAAAAAAACAGGAUUCACAAACGUUCUCAUACGUCGUGACAACGAGAAAUUGUACAAAUCUUUACCAAACUUCAAAGCAAUGAGCUUUGCACGGUAACCGCCACCAGAGAUAUCGGCAGCACUCCGGCCUUGGUUUGUGAAAACAACCCGGUCGGCAGCAAGGACGUUGAGGGACGUAGUACUUGGGUCGUGGUUCCGGUUUCAGAGGAAUGGUGACCGUGCAACCCCUACAAGAGUCGCAGAGUUACAAACGGAUAAACCAGAGAAAAUCAAGACGAAGAUGAUGGGAACUUGCCCAUGAAGCAUUAAACCUGACCUGUGCCGGGCGGACUUUGCACUGCACCUUCGGAAAUACAAUUAAUCCAGCCACGACGAGCGAUGCCUUCCGAUGAUCACUCAUUGUCAGAGUCGAACCGCUCAUUUCAAGGGACUCGCUGCCACCCUGGCCGGACAUUGCGGAGGACAUGCUGGAGGACACGGCGGUGGACAGUAAGGAACGCAUUUUGGAGGACAGGGUCCGCACGGCACCGGUGGUGUACAAAUCGUGAUUCGGCAAGGCGGGGGACAAGGACAACAUGGUACGCACGGCGUGCAAGGUGGACAAGGUGGUGGGCAGCAAGGGUAUACAGGACUAUUCUGCUUGCAACCUGGGGAGGAAGGAGCUUGAGGCGGAGACGAGCCACCACAGCACGACAUUUUCUUCAAAUUUUUCGAUCCCCUGGAACAAUCACUGCUGUUCGCUGGAUUAAAAUACAGACUUCUAAAUUGAUAAGGAAUUAGGCUUGCACCUACAUUACACAGUACACUAAAUAAGUGAUCCAGGACACCUGAUGACGGCAAUGUAAAAUAUAACAACUCGUUGACCAUGGACGAUAAAAUAUUAGCAUCGAGGUGGUGGGCAACAGGGCAUGCACGGUAAACACGGUGGUGGGCAUGGUGGAGAACAAGGCGGCGGACAUGGCAUACAGGGAACACACGAAGGGCAAGGCAUACAACGAGGCGGCGGUGGACAGCAACUGAUGCAUGGUGGGCAAGGUGGAGGACUGCAGGGCGGUGGACAGGGUGGAGGGCAGCGAGGUGGCGGACAACAUGGAGGCGGAGGGCAUCGAGGUGGCGGACAACAUGGAGGCGGAGGGCAUCGAGGUG
This is a long non-coding RNA of Neodiprion virginianus, 1389 nucleotides long. RefSeq lists it as uncharacterized. Lineage: Eukaryota; Metazoa; Arthropoda; Insecta; Hymenoptera; Diprionidae. The transcript is spliced from 3 exons. The record is from RefSeq and is a predicted model, not a curated record.